AGGACGAACGCUGGCGGCGUGCUUAACACAUGCAAGUCGAACGGAAAGGCCCGCUUGCGGGUACUCGAGUGGCGAACGGGUGAGUAACACGUGGGCAACCUGCCCUCAGCUUCGGGAUAACACUUGGAAACAGGUGCUAAUACCGGAUAAUAACCUUUCAUCGCAUGGUGUGGGGUUCAAAGUUUUUCGGCUGGGGAUGGGCCCGCGGCCUAUCAGCUUGUUGGUGGGGUAAUGGCCUACCAAGGCGACGACGGGUAGCCGGCCUGAGAGGGCGACCGGCCACACUGGGACUGAGACACGGCCCAGACUCCUACGGGAGGCAGCAGUGGGGAAUAUUGCACAAUGGGCGAAAGCCUGAUGCAGCGACGCCGCGUGAGGGAUGACGGCCUUCGGUUGUAACCUCUUUCAGCAGGGAAGAAGCGCGAGUGACGGUACCUGCAGAAGAAGCACCGGCUAACUACGCGCCAGCAGCCGC
RNAcentral lists this ribosomal RNA (475 nucleotides) under uncultured bacterium. RNAcentral's name for it is "SSU rRNA". It matches the Rfam family "Bacterial small subunit ribosomal RNA", at positions 26 to 518 of the family's 1533-position model. The record is from RNAcentral.